AAGUCGUAACAAGGUUUCCGUAGGUGAACCUGCGGAAGGAUCAUUAACUUGAUAUAUAUAUAUAUAUAAAAAUAUAUAUAAACACACUUUUUACAAUUUUUCCUGCUUCUUUUUCAGCAAGCAAAAAAGGAUGAUUGAGGGGGGCCAUUUUUAUAUUAUUUAUUUUAUAAAAUAAUGUUAUGUGCAAAACAACAAUGUUGUAAAUUUAAAAUAACUUUCAACAACGGAUCUCUAGGCUCUU
This 241-nucleotide unclassified non-coding RNA is filed under the name fungal sp. Its description in RNAcentral is "partial internal transcribed spacer region". The stretch from base 1 to 46 matches the Rfam family "Eukaryotic small subunit ribosomal RNA", at positions 1786 to 1831 of the family's 1831-position model. Lineage: Eukaryota; Fungi. The record is from RNAcentral.